UCUCGCUGUCAGAUUUUACUGUGUCAAAAAUUGCUUAGGCAUUCCAAUAGCUUACUUCUAUUUUGAUCCAUAUUCUCGUCCACUGGAAAAACAUGGGGGGCAUGGAUGGACAUCGUUGCUGGUUGGAGCCGUAUUUUGUGUGAGGGUACAUCUUCCAGGUUGCCUAUUUGCCAUGUUGUGUGCAAUCAAACUCCACCAGUGGGAGACAAGCCAAGCCUUAUGACCAUUCGUGAGGUUUGCAAUUUUUCGAGGAGUCAUAUAAGCUGCAACUGUUCUGCAGAUUUUGCCAUUUCGGUUUCAUGAUCUUCACAUUGAUUGAUUGCUAUAAUCAAGUUUUGUUUUCCAAAGGUUGUCGAUAAGUUUUUCCCUUUUAUUCUCCAUCAUAUUUACCAUAAAGUUGACAGCUUGAAACUCUUCUGUUAGGAGGGAAGCAAAUUUAGAAUUUCAAAUUAACCUUUUAAUUUUUCAAUCUUUCAGGCGCAUUUGCAGUUUUGCCUUUGUGUAAUGGAACAACUUGCACAAGCCAAUCUUCAAACACACACUUCAAAAUAACAAACCUAACCUAGUUACUCUUACAACGAAGCCCAAAAUGCUACACAUUGAGUAAACUCCAGUGAAUGUCCUUUGUUCGAUUCUUCUUCUUCAUCGUUUUUAUUCUUCAUUUCUUCUUUGAUUCUUCUUGGUUUUUUACAUUUUUUUUUCUUCUUUU
Molecule: non-coding RNA, 709 nt
Organism: Camellia sinensis
Lineage: Eukaryota; Viridiplantae; Streptophyta; Magnoliopsida; Ericales; Theaceae
Source: RefSeq, a predicted model, not a curated record